GUUUCAAUUCCUCAUAGGCAGGCUAUCGGCGGUGCCACCGUCACGAGAUUCCCAUCUGUCGUGUUGUG
RNAcentral lists this small RNA (68 nucleotides) under Acididesulfobacillus acetoxydans. RNAcentral describes it as "Peptococcaceae bacterium INE non-coding RNA". Lineage: Bacteria; Bacillati; Bacillota; Clostridia; Eubacteriales; Peptococcaceae. The record is from RNAcentral.